RNAcentral lists this ribosomal RNA (424 nucleotides) under uncultured bacterium. Its description in RNAcentral is "bacterial SSU rRNA". It matches the Rfam family "Bacterial small subunit ribosomal RNA", at positions 355 to 772 of the family's 1533-position model. The record is from RNAcentral.
UCGAGAAUUUUUCACAAUGGGCGAAAGCCUGAUGGAGCGACGCCGCGUGGGGGAUGAAUGGCUUCGGCCCGUAAACCCCUGUCAUUUGCGAACAAUGCCUGCGCUUUAAUAAAUCGUAGGUUGAUAGUAGCGAAAGAGGAAGGGACGGCUAACUCUGUUCCAGCAGCCGCGGUAAUACAGAGGUCCCGAGCGUUGUUCGGAUUCACUGGGCGUAAAGGGUGCGUAGGUGGUCGGGUAAGUCUGAUGUGAAAUCUCCGAGCUCAACUCGGAAAUGGCAUUGGAUACUAUUUGGCUAGAGGGUUGGAGGGGGGACUGGAAUACUUGGUGUAGCAGUGAAAUGCGUAGAUAUCAAGUGGAACACCAGUGGCGAAGGCGAGUCCCUGGACAACUCCUGACACUGAGGCACGAAAGCUAGGGGAGCAAA